ACUAGAUGCCGUUGUAGCGUAUUUUGUAAAAACCAAGAUAUAACAAAUCAAAUUUGCGUUAGAAUUAAAUAGUUUAUCGUGGAUUAAGAUAUUUAAUUAUCGGAUUAUUAGCUUAUGUACCAAUUUUCGUAAUAUAUAUAAGGUAAUGAAAAUACUGUUUCACCAUUCCACGACGAAAACAUGUCCUUCAAAGCUGGGUUCUUAUUAAUUGCUCUUCUUGCAGGGAGCUAUGAAGCACCGGACCGGGCAUGCCUGAUCUGGACCGGGUAAGGUAUGUAACGCAGAAGAUUUUUCUGGACCUGAUCAGGAUGAGAUGAGCUUUCCUGAUCGGGUCCAGAUCAGGAAAUCUCAUCUCAUCGUGAUACAAUGAGCGUAACUGGACAAGGAGCCUAACGCCACACUGAGCGAAACGCUACAAUGAGUCACCCUUUUUCGUGUAUGCAACCGGCGUUCAUCGAUUUAUUCGACAUUGUCAAACGUCAAAAAAUGUUUUUGGGAAAAUCAAUUUUUGAACCCAGUGUACCCCAAUGAAAACACGUGACUUGACACGUGACACGACUAUGUUAAUUUUAACUCAUCGUAGCACACAACUAAUACAGUGUUCUUACAUUUAAUCGAUUAAAUCUUGUGCUUAUCGUCAAUAUAUUGAUAAUUUUAUACAUAUAUAGAAAAAGAACUGUGUGGCUUUAUGAAAUCACGAUCCAAGUGAAACUUUAGUGAAUAAAAACAUUUCCAUUUGCAUACACAUUUAUAACAUUUGCGACAUGCGACAUGCGAUAGAUGAACGAAACAAUUUUGGGGCAUUAUAUACUACAAAAACGAUUCCCCAAAAAAUAUUUUUAAAUUUUCAACAAGAUGUUAAACGUCAAAA
Molecule: unclassified non-coding RNA, 871 nt
Filed under: Melitaea cinxia (Glanville fritillary)
Lineage: Eukaryota; Metazoa; Arthropoda; Insecta; Lepidoptera; Nymphalidae
Description: misc RNA ENSMCXG00005007725.1
Source: RNAcentral